Molecule: long non-coding RNA, 1140 nt
Organism: Clarias gariepinus (North African catfish)
Lineage: Eukaryota; Metazoa; Chordata; Actinopteri; Siluriformes; Clariidae
Exons: 3
Source: RefSeq, a predicted model, not a curated record
CUGCUCACGUACAUGAGGUUUACCCACAGCUCUGCUCAUGUGCAGAUCCUGAUGCCAGAUGCUGCCACCGAUUGUGAAAGUAGUGUGUGGUGAAAUCAAUGCUGCUUCUCACGCAACUCCUAUGUUUCUGCAGCCUUACUUCUGCCUGUCGUAUGCAGUGUCGCUAUAGACAUGACUGUUUUUUCUGUAGACUACACAGUUUAUUGUUACAGUUAGUGAGGACCGGCAGUGACGCCCAGAUUAUGACGUAGUUGGGGAAGCUGCCUAUUGUUACAUUCAGUGAGGACGGCCUUUGCAGACACCGACCGGCCCAACAGAAUUAGUUUUAACUCAGAACUCGUAUACUGCAGCUGUCCACUCAUCCAUUCCAUCUGUCUGUUUUAUUCCACAGAACUUACUCCCUGUGUGCUCUUAUGCUUGUAAUAAAUGAAGGUAAGCACUCAGCCUCACUGUGUAACAACCCGAUACGGCAUAUUUGGCUUCCUGUUUGUACCCACAAUUGUGUGUUUGUGUUUUUAAAGUGUCGUCACAGAACGUCACAGUCGAAGCUGCUCAAGGAGACGCUGUGAUCUUACCAUGUUCAUCCAGUCGUUAUGAAAAGAACGUGUUCUGGCGAUACAGAGACACCAAGACUGUGUAUGACAUCAUCGAGGGUAAAGAGAAUUUUCAUGACCAGGAUGGAGAGUACAGGGGCCGAGUCAAAGGUUUUCCAUCAGAAUUCACAAAAGGGAAUUACUCCAUUAGACUGAGUGACGUGAAACUCAGUGAUACAGGAACUUACAGCUGCACCAUCCCUGACUCCAGAACUGUCCAUGUAGAACUCAAGGUCAAAGAUGAGAGUAACUCAAGCCACAGGACUUCCCCAGAUAACAGCGGCAUCAUGAGAAAAGCAGGCAGUACCUCAUCUUUAGUCAUUUUAGUUCUGCUGUGUAUCUUUGCUUUCUGAAGAAAGAACUAAAGCUUCAAAAUCUUUUCUUCAGUACAUCUUUGGCAUUCAUUUUAUUAUUAUUAAUCGGAUAGCAGUAUAUUAUAUGCAGUAUAAUAGUUUAAUAGUAGAUAGCAGUAUAUUAUAUGAUAAAAGUGACUCUCCAGAUAACAGCAGCUUCAUGAGAAAAGCAGGCAGUACAUUAUCUUUAGUCA